GCCUACGGGACGCAGCAGUGGGGAAUAUUGCACAAUGGGGGAAACCCUGAUGCAGCGACGCCGCGUGAGUGAAGAAGCGCCUCGGCGCGUAAAGCUCUGCCAGCAGGAACGAUAAUGACGGUACCUGAAGAAGAAGCCCCGGCUAACUACGUGCCAGCAGCCGCGGUAAUACGUAGGGGGCAAGCGUUAUCCGGAUUUACUGGGUGUAAGGGGAGCGUAGACGGCGGGGCAAGUCUGGAGUGAAAG
Molecule: ribosomal RNA, 246 nt
Filed under: uncultured bacterium
Lineage: Bacteria
Description: partial 16S ribosomal RNA
Rfam family: Bacterial small subunit ribosomal RNA
Source: RNAcentral